ACAAAUUCAACACUCGUCUUUGAGGAGGCGUUGCCGAAGGCGCGCAACAUGCAUAAUGACCUCUUUUGUUAGGGGUUACGCUGUUGACGACAACGCUGGCGCCUCCUCAUGUACAUAGACAACAUUCACUUUUAUACUUGACACAUGAUGGAGAACCAAUUUGGUUAAAUGAAAAA
RNAcentral lists this unclassified non-coding RNA (176 nucleotides) under uncultured fungus. RNAcentral describes it as "sequence contains ITS1, 5.8S rRNA gene". Lineage: Eukaryota; Fungi. The record is from RNAcentral.